Molecule: ribosomal RNA, 497 nt
Filed under: uncultured bacterium
Lineage: Bacteria
Description: partial 16S ribosomal RNA
Rfam family: Bacterial small subunit ribosomal RNA
Source: RNAcentral
GACGAACGCUGGCGGCGUGCCUAAUACAUGCAAGUUGAGCGCUGAAGGUUGGUACUUGUACCGACUGGAUGAGCAGCGAACGGGUGAGUAACGCGUGGGGAAUCUGCCUUUGAGCGGGGGACAACAUUUGGAAACGAAUGCUAAUACCGCAUAAAAACUUUAAACACAAGUUUUAAGUUUGAAAGAUGCAAUUGCAUCACUCAAAGAUGAUCCCGCGUUGUAUUAGCUAGUUGGUGAGGUAAAGGCUCAUCAAGGCGAUGAUACAUAGCAGACCUGAGAGGGUGAUCGGCCACAUUGGGACGGAGACACGGCCCAUACUCCUACGGGAGGCAGCAGUAGGGAAUCUUCGGCAAGAGGCGAAAGUCUGACCGAGAAGCGCCGAGGGAGUGAAGAAGGUCUUCGGAUCGUAAAACUCUGUUGGUAGGGAAGAAAGUUGGUGAGAGUGGAAAGCUCAUCAAGUGACGGUAACUACUCAGAAAGCGACGGCUAACUACGUG